Molecule: long non-coding RNA, 3231 nt
Organism: Acinonyx jubatus (cheetah)
Lineage: Eukaryota; Metazoa; Chordata; Mammalia; Carnivora; Felidae
Exons: 3
Source: RefSeq, a predicted model, not a curated record
CUUGAUGUCUGUUUCAUUCCCCAGUGUAGGGAAAUUUUCAGUGAUUAUUUCUUUAAGUUUUCUAUGUGAAUGGCAUUAUCCUUGAUGUUGUCCUAGAGGUUUCUUCUUUUAGAUCACUGAUCUGUCCUGCAUCUUGUUAUCUGCUAUUGAUUCUCUGUACGAUAUUUUUCAUUUCAGUUGUUGUACUUUACAGCUCUGAUUGGUUCUAUUUUCUGCUUCCUUGCUGAAGUUUUCAAGCUGCUCAUCCACUCUUCUCUCAAGUAUGGUGGUCAUCUUCAUGACUAUUGCUUUGAACUCUUGAUCAGGGCAAGACUUGCUUUGGAGCGGUGCUGGUUCUGGACCGGGUUGACCACAAGGCAUGGCAGGGUAAUAGUCGCUAUACAGGAACACCUGCAAUGACGUUGUGAUUGUCCACAAAGAAGACCAAACAUAGCAAAUUAUGUGCAUUAAGAGAGUCAGUAAGGAACUGGAUACAAAAUAAACUUGCAAAAAUCAAUAGCACUUACCUAUACCAAUAAUAAUCACCAAAACAAUAUAAUAGAAGGUAAGUUCUGAACUUGAUGGAGGCAUUUUGAAAAGACCUGAGUGAAAAACUCUAACACUUUGAAAAAUAGGGUGGCUUAAUAUUAUAAAUUUGUUAAUUUUCCCUUAAAUAACUUUAAAAUUCUAUGUAUUUCUCUUGAUGUAUUUAGUUCUCAAACUGUUGAUGCCUUUCUACUUAAAGUUUUUUUUUUAAUGUUUAUUUUUGAGAGAGAUCACGAGUUGGGGAGACACAGAAUCUGAAGCACCCUCCACGCUCUCAGCUGUCAUCACAGAGCUGGAUGCGGGGCUCAAACCUAUGAACUGUGAGUGAGAUCAUGACCUGAGCCGAAGUCGGACACUUAAUUGACUGAGACACCCAGGUGCCCCUUUCUACUUUCAGUUUUUGAUUUCUGGUCUAAUUUCACUAUAUCAGAAAGCAUACGCUGAACAAUUUUAACCUUUAGAAAUUGAGACUUGCAUUAUCUGAAGGCUAUGGUCUAAUUUCAGAAAUGAUCUAGGUGCACCUACAAGAAUGUGCAGUUCACAAUUGUAUUUCACAUAGGUUUCACUUGUAAAAAAUUACUUAGGUUAAUGUCUAUUAAUAUGGCUGUAGAUUUGUCUCUAUUUUUUAUCAAUUUUUGCUUUAUAUAUUUUGAGGACAUAGUAUUAGUACAUGCAUCAUUAUAACUUCUUGGUGGAUUAUCUGAGUAUAUUAUCUUCCUGAUUAUAUUUUCCUGGUAUAUUAUCAUUAAGAAGGUCGGUUUGGGGGUGCCUAGGUGGUUCAGUUGAUUAAGCAGGUAACUCUUGAUUUCAGCUCUGGUCAUGAUCUCAUGGUUCCUGGGCUUGAGCCCCAUGUCGGGCUCUCCACUGACAGCAUGGAGCCCGCUUGGGAUUCUCUCUGUCCCUGCUCCUAUCCUGCACGCGUGCACAUGUGCUCUCUCCCUCUCUCUCGAAAUAAACUAAAAAAACGCUUGUGUAAUUACAAUAACGAAAGGCAAAAGAGGCUUUGAGAAAAGCAUUUUUUUAACGUUAUUGUUUAAAUUCCAGUCCGUUGGCAUACAGUAUCAUAUUGGUUUCAAGUGUUCAGUAUAGUGCUCAUCCCAACAAGUGCACUCCUUGAUCCCCAUCUCCCACCACCCCCUCCCAUCUGGUAACUAUCUGUUCUCCAUAGUUACGAGUCUGUUUCUUGGUUUGCCUCUCUUUUUGGUUAGUGUUUGGUUUAUUUUGGGGGUGGAGGAGAAAUGGUAAAUACUCCCCUUUUUUACUUUCAAACAUUAAGUUCUUUAUAAUAUGGCACUUGUAAUCAACAUAGAAGUUUUAUUGUUUUAAUAUGGUGAGACAAAUCUUGGUUUUUAGUAUAUUUAAUCUUUUUUUUUCCCUACAGGACCCGCCUAUUUUACUGCCUCCUUUUGGAUUUAUCAAGUAUUUUUUUAAAUUAAAAAAGGUUUAUUUUUGAGAGAGAGGGAGAGCAUACGAGUGGGGGAGUCGAAGAGGAAGAGGGAUAAGAGGAUCCAAAGUGGGCUCUGUGCUGACAGCCCUGUGCGGGGGCUCCAACUCAUGAACCGUGAGAUCAUGACCUCAGCUGGUGUUGGAUAGUUAACCAACUGAGCCACCCAGGCACCUGAUUAAUCAAAUAGUUUAAAUUAUUCCAUUUAUUCCUCUAUUUAACUAAGGGUUUUACAUUAUCUUAGUAUCUUUUAUUGGCUAUCUUAAAAAUUACACCUUGCAUCCUUGAUUAUGAUAGAAACUUAGAAUUCUUUAACACUACUUACCCUUUUGGAUUUUGUUAUUUUUGUCUAGUAUUUUAAUUUUAUGUAUAUUUUAAAAUCAACAGCAUAUUAUUUUGUUUUUUGAAGCAAUCAUUCACUUAUAUUUACCAACUUUUUUUCCAUUUUGAGUUAAAUUUUGUUUAUGGUGUGAGGGAAUGUUUGUGGAUCAUUUUUUGCAGAUGGAUAUACAUAUGUGUUCUAGCCACUUAUUAAAAAGAUUAUUCACCACUGAAUUUCUUUGGCACUUAAAUUGAAAAUCACUUGGUCCUGUAUAUUAAUGUUUAUUUCUGAACUAUUCUGCUCGAUUUAUUUUUAUGUCUGCUUUUGUGUCAAUACCACACUGUGUUAAUUACUGUGGCUUUAUAAGAAGGCUUUAAAAAAAACCCACGUUUAUUUAUUUUGAGAGGGAGAGAGAAUCCCAAGCAGCCUCUGCACUAUAAGCACAGAGCCUGAUGCAGGGAUCUAUCUUAUGGGAUCGUGACCUGAGCCACCUAGGCGCCACUAUAUAAGUCUUGAAACCAGAAAGAAUAAAUCUGCCAACUGUGUCCAUGUUUAAAAAAAAAAAUUCUAUGUAUUUCGAAUUAAGUUCCCAAGAGGAUUUUCUUGGGUUGGGAGAGAAAACCUGAGUGUAAAAUUUUGCAGAAUGUAAUAGUCUGUGAAUACCUGGGAAACAUUUAAAAAAUACGACUACCCCUACCAUAAAUUAUAGUAAUAAAACAGUAUUGUAGUAUCAAAUAAACCAAUCAAAUUGAAUAGGUCCUCUGGAAACAGACCUGCUUAUAGAUGGCAGUUUGCUAUAUGUCAUUGGUAACAUCACAAAUCAGAAAAUUAUAUUUAGUGAACCAUAAUGGAAAAGUUGUCUCACUUGUGACAAAUUGGAAAAAACAAAGAUUCCUAUCUCAUGCUGCAUACAGAGAAGCUCAAAUGAAAUAAAAACCUA